Molecule: unclassified non-coding RNA, 327 nt
Filed under: Hevea brasiliensis (rubber tree)
Lineage: Eukaryota; Viridiplantae; Streptophyta; Magnoliopsida; Malpighiales; Euphorbiaceae
Source: RNAcentral
GUUUGAAAUUAUUUUACCAUUUGUUUCUCCCAUCUGCAUGCAGUUGUCUGAGGAUGACCAUGCUGAACCUAAGGUUGAUAAGUUAUUCAUUUCCUCUUCAAGACAGGCUGAAGAACCAUCCUGUCCAGAAACCUCUAUUCCAACUUCAAGCUUUUUUUCGGGACGAGCCGGCUUCAUGUCAGAAGGUCGCUGAUAGCUCUCAAUUUCUAUGUUUCCAUGUCUGGGAAUAUAGCCAUCUAGUGUCCUCCUAACACGCCAUCUUGAUCCACAUGCAUUGCAGAGCACUGGUUUUUCAGGUGGACCAUUUCUCCAAAUAAUGGUUUCAAA